AUGGCCACCGGAGCCGGCGACGACGGGCACGGCGCUGGUGCCCGGGCAACGGCGAUCCCGUCCGUGAUCCUGAACACUGGCCACGCCAUGCCGGUGCUGGGGUUCGGCACGGGCUCGCCAAGCAAGCCGGCGGACCUGGCGGACACCAUCGUGCACGCCAUCCGCCUCGGCUACCGCCACCUGGACACGGCCUCCAUGUACCGCACGGAGCCGACGGUGGGCGCCGCCGUAGCCGAGUCCGUCCGCGCCGACCUCUUCGUCACCUCCAAGCUCUGGAUCUCCGAUGCGCGCCCGGGCCGCGUCGUCCCGGCGCUCCGCGAGUCCCUCGCCCGCCUCGGCCUAGCCUACCUUGACCUCUUCCUCGUCCACUGGCCCGUGGCCGCCACCGCCGGCGGCCUCCCCGUGGACAAGGGCACGCUGGUGGAGUUCGACAUGGAGGGCGUGUGGCGCGGCAUGGAGGAGUGCCAUCGGCUGGGCCUGGCGAGGUCCGUCGGGGUGAGCAACUUCUCGGCGGCCAAGAUGGAGAGGCUGCUGGCUCUCGCCGCCGUGCCGCCGGCGGUCAACCAGGUUGAGAUGAACGUCGGGUGGAGGCAGGAGAAGGUGCGGGAGGUGUGCGCCCGGCACGGCGUCGUCGUCGCCGCCUACUCGCCGCUCGGCGCGUACGGCGCCUUCUGGGGCUCCGACGCCGUCAUGGAGAGCGGCGUCUUGCACGACGUCGCCGCCGCGAGAGGCAAGACCGUCGCGCAGGUGGCGUUGAGGUGGCUAUAUGAGCAGGGCGUGUGCUUCGUGGCGAGGAGCUACAACAAUGAGAGAUUGAAGCAGAAUAUGGAGAUCUUCGAGUGGGAGUUGAGCGAGGAGGAGAAGGGGAUGAUCGCCACAAUACCACAGAGGAGAGUGUCUUUGGGGGAGCGGUUCAUGUCGCCCGAUGGGCCUUACAGAUCACUCGAGGAGCUCUGGGACGACGAUAUAUGA
This 972-nucleotide ribosomal RNA is filed under the name Triticum aestivum (bread wheat). RNAcentral describes it as "partial small subunit ribosomal RNA". Lineage: Eukaryota; Viridiplantae; Streptophyta; Magnoliopsida; Poales; Poaceae. The record is from RNAcentral.